UCGUAUGUAGGAAUUCAGUAAAUGCGUUAAUAAAUAAAUUUACGUUCCCAUUUCGAAUUGUGAAAUUUUGUGAUACGUCAGUGUAAGAUACAAAUAAAAUUCUUGAUAAAACGAUUUUCAGAAAAAGAAUGACCUGUUUUAAUGUGAAACGCUUGGAAGACACACACGACAUUAAUGACGUUAACGCGCGUAGGAUUUCCCUGAAGGCGCGUAUCGCGUAUAUAAGCGUGACGUAAUGCAGACAUUAAUAAUUAUUGUGGCAUAAUGAUUGUGACGCGCGUGACCGCCACCAACGGCAGUGGUAUUUAUGCCCACGCCGAUGGAAAGUAACGCGUGCCUAAGGGAAUUCAUAAAAUCGAGCAAAGCGACACAGCAGCCGAUCUCUGGAUGCCUACACUUUUGGAUUCCUUUGAAUUUCUACCAUUGUGAGCGAUGCUUAGCAUUCUACAGAUGUCACAUGGUUCGAUGAUCCCCGAGACUCGGAAUCAUCAAUAGCUCAAAUGUUAUCGUAUAAAAGAAAACCAUACAACGCCCUCUAGUUACUAUAAUGAAGUAUAUUUAAAGAAAUUGUACAAAGAAAUAUUUGUAGUAAAUUAGUCUUCUUCAUAAACUAACCCAAAUUAAAUUCUAAUUCAUCGUUUUAAUCGAGCUCCUGCCGAUGUAUAUAUAUUGAAAAUCUUAGUGAUGUAAGUAUAAGAAUAUCUAUUAUUCCUGGUUUACAACUGCUUAAAAGGUACUACCCUUUUAGUUGAUAAACAAUCAAGAUGUUAUCUCAUUGUGUGCGCAACAUGUUUUUCUCAUACACAAAGGAUACAUAUUAAGCUUUUUGUAGUAAUGAAAUAUGAAAAAUAUCAGGCGAUUGACUUAUACACAAUGAUUGUACAAUAUUCAUAGUUUCAAAGUAACGAUCACCACGUCUUAGUCACAUUCUUGUCAAUAAUUAUCACGCAUUAUAAAAAAAGGGUGACAAAUUGAUAACGAAGUUCAGAUAGUGUAUUAUAUGAUUGGUUAAUUGACAGAAAUUAUGCGCGACAAUGACUGUGUGUGGACCAGCGGCUCGCGGAAGGUCAGUGACAGAAAAACGAGAUCACAGUUUCUGGGGGCGAAGCCCAGUCAUCGCCCUCCCGAAAUUUCGAUUGGCGUCGCGCCCGCAGCGCCACCUGGGCGCUAGUCCGCUACUCGUCUCGGCUCGAAACUCAUUCCAGAAGUGAACGAACGGAUGCGCGUACGCACGGUUCCUCUAUUAUACAUUUCCAUCGUAAAGGUGCGUUUAGGUACCGGCUAUUAACCCCCUUUUACAGGCCAAUGCGAUUACAAGCGGUUCGAAUAAAAGGAAAAGUCCCACAUACGUUUUCGCUAAUUCGUUAAAACACCGUUACCACAAUAUAAAUAAUCUCCUUUUUUCCGCGUAGUAUAACAUAUAGCGGCUACAAAAAGCAUUGACACGCCAUAGUAUAUUUAUUAUAUCAUUCGCAUACUAAUCAAUUAGAUUCAAAUAUAUUCCACUUAUAUCAUUUAAUAAUAUAUACUUUCAUAUGACUACGAAAAAAUAUUAUGGAAACAAAAUGUAGAAUCUGAUAUGUAGCAAUACUUCUUCUAGUCACUAUACGAUAGAGAGAACGAUAAUUACUUCAAGUUCAUAAAAAUCCACGUUACAAGCGGAGAGAAAUCGAGAAGUAAACGUUAAUUAUACCUAAAGUUCACGGAAAGAUUAAGUUGCCAUUACACCCUUUAAUAAGCUUUGUCACGCACCAAGCUGCGAAAGCCACAACCUGCGGCGAUAUCUGACCGAUGUACACUUGAAAACGAAACAUUCUUGCUAUGAAUACUUUGUACAGUCUGCUAUUAAAAAAGGAAUUGAUGGUAUAAUACUUACUGAGAGAACAGUGAAAGAUAUUUAAUUAAUGGUAAUUAUGUUGAUUCUUCCAAUAUUAUAUCAAGUUUUGUACUUCCCAUAUUUUUCACUUAAUGUAAGACAACAUUUAGAUCAAACUUUCCAUACGAAAUAAGUAAAGGUUAAGUCCUUAACUACCUGAAUCCUCUAGAUUUCUUUUUAUAGCGUUACUUAAAGACUGUAAUCGAUUCAUUGCUGAUAAAUUUACUAUAAAAAUGUAAACAAAACUUGACAUAACAACUAGCAUUUACAUUGAUUAGGCACUUUUCCUUUUACUUCUCUCAGUGAGUACUGUCAAUUCACAAAGUCUGGCUCCAUUUUUUUAUAACACUUUGUAUAUUCGAUACUACUACUACUAUUCAAUAUGAAAUUCGUACUUUCUUCUUAAA
Long non-coding RNA from Bombus pyrosoma, 2283 nucleotides. RefSeq lists it as uncharacterized. The transcript has 2 exons. Lineage: Eukaryota; Metazoa; Arthropoda; Insecta; Hymenoptera; Apidae. The record is from RefSeq and is a predicted model, not a curated record.